Molecule: long non-coding RNA, 231 nt
Filed under: Lathyrus oleraceus (garden pea)
Lineage: Eukaryota; Viridiplantae; Streptophyta; Magnoliopsida; Fabales; Fabaceae
Description: Pisum sativum (pea) long non-coding RNA (PSAT_LNC032599)
Source: RNAcentral
AAAUUUCUUGACAAUGAUUUGAUCAUAACUCUUCAACCACACAUGAGAAAUAGAUGUUCUUGGACUUUUUGGAAAGGUGAGAGCAAGAUCUUCAACUUUCAUGUUGGACAAAAUUUCAUUUGAAGCUUUCUUGAGGAUGUAAACUUGAGGAGAAGACCUUUCCAUUUUUGGCAGCUUGAAAUUACAGGUCACUUACUAUUUUUGGAAACUUUUUGUCUGACCUCAAAUCCU